This 515-nucleotide ribosomal RNA is filed under the name uncultured bacterium. RNAcentral describes it as "partial 16S ribosomal RNA". It matches the Rfam family "Bacterial small subunit ribosomal RNA", at positions 28 to 523 of the family's 1533-position model. The record is from RNAcentral.
GAUGAACGCUGGCGGCGUGCCUAAUACAUGCAAGUCGAGCGAAUGGAUUAAGAGCUUGCUCUUAUGAAGUUAGCGGCGGACGGGUGAGUAACACGUGGGUAACCUGCCCAUAAGACUGGGAUAACUCCGGGAAACCGGGGCUAAUACCGGAUAACAUUUUGAACCGCAUGGUUCGAAAUUGAAAGGCGGCUUCGGCUGUCACUUAUGGAUGGACCCGCGUCGCAUUAGCUAGUUGGUGAGGUAACGGCUCACCAAGGCAACGAUGCGUAGCCGACCUGGGAGGGUGAUCGGCCACACUGGGACUGAGACACGGCCCAGACUCCUACGGGAGGCAGCAGUAGGGAAUCUGCCGCAAUGGACGAAAGUCUGACGGAGCAACGCCGCGUGAGUGACGAAGGCUUUCGGGUCGUAAAACUCUGUUGUUAGGGAAGAACAAGUGCUAGUUGAAUAAGCUGGCACCUUGACGGUACCUAACCAGAAAGCCACGGCUAACUACGUGCCAGCCGCCGCAGUAA